This is a long non-coding RNA of Chelonia mydas (Green sea turtle), 154 nucleotides long. RefSeq lists it as uncharacterized. Lineage: Eukaryota; Metazoa; Chordata; Testudines; Cheloniidae. The transcript has 3 exons. The record is from RefSeq and is a predicted model, not a curated record.
AUCAGUUUGGAAUCCAUGCUCUCUUGCUUUCCUUUCAUCAUCUGGACGUCAGUCAGUAACUUGGUUACAUUGUCUUGACGAACCUUUAUAUCCUCAUUCUUUAUACUGGAGACCUGGAGACAGAAAGGAAGAGGACACGUGUGAACUCCAGGCA